ACCUAGAGCAGACUCAUCACAGCUCUCACUCCUGCCCAUCUCACCAUGACUGCAGGUAUGGUCACCUUUGGAAUCUUCACUGUAAUCGUUCUUGGAUUCACAAUUGUAGCACUGGUAAAUGGUACGGGGAUGAGAAUGGGUGCAAGAGGGAAUCGCAGGGGAUCUUUCGCCAUGUUUUUUGAUGCUGCGGACACUGCCAGGUCUCUACCCCGAGCAGAAUCCCAAACUACGGUGUCCAGAAGAAGAGCUGGUGAACACUGGCAGUGAACAGAAGCAUGUUUCCUUCCUUCCAAGCAGCUUGAUUUGUGCCUUCUCACUGCAGGACCUGGAAAGCCCCCCACUGGCCCUCUGCUACCCCUUUAGCAGAUUUGGAUUAUUACCUUGAGCAAUUAAUGCUUUGAAAGGUUCAAUAAAGUGCACUGCAGGU
Molecule: long non-coding RNA, 427 nt
Organism: Oenanthe melanoleuca
Lineage: Eukaryota; Metazoa; Chordata; Aves; Passeriformes; Muscicapidae
Exons: 4
Source: RefSeq, a predicted model, not a curated record